AAAGAAGAAAAUGGAUGUGAUCAAAGUUGGAUCAGACAAAAACUUUAUCAGUCCAGUCCGCUUAUGCUUUCUGUUACAGUGUAUGUAACUGUAAAAACAUAUCUUUUCUCUGGAAAAUGUGCCAACCCUCUGGCAGCUCUCUUGUACAACCUCACACAGUUACUACUUCCAGCCACUUUCUUUAGCGCUUACUGCACACUAACUACUUCUCAGUUUCCCAAAACCAAAAAAAAAGCCAAAUGCUGAUUUCCAGGUCCACUGGGAUUCCCUUUACACAAAGCAGAACAGGGGGCACCAUUACUAGAAUGAAUUCUAUCUUGCCCUCACCUAGAAUUAUGGACAUGACAACAACCCAUAUCUUCCAUACAGACUUUCAAGCAGACACAGGGCACGUGGAGACUACCAAAGUCUGUUCCAGAAGAACAUUUGAGGGCUCUCAUUUCAAGAGACCUGCACUUGUAUGUGGAAGUUUAUCUCACUGGGAACUUCAUAGUUAUUCAGAAGUCUGACACCAGCAAGUUCACAAGGACUCAGGAAGA
Molecule: long non-coding RNA, 539 nt
Organism: Oxyura jamaicensis (ruddy duck)
Lineage: Eukaryota; Metazoa; Chordata; Aves; Anseriformes; Anatidae
Exons: 2
Source: RefSeq, a predicted model, not a curated record